CUACCCUGAUGUGGGGAAUAACCCCUCGAAAGAGGAGCUAAUACCGCAUAAGCUCUCUCUUGAUAGAGAGAGAGGAAACCUUGGUUGUGACAAACCUGGGGCAACAGGAUGAGGCUGCGGCGGAUUAGCUAGAUGGUGGGGUAAAGGCCUACCAUGGCGACGAUCCGUAGCUGGUCUGAGAGGACGACCAGCCACACUGGGACUGAGACACGGCCCAG
This 218-nucleotide ribosomal RNA is filed under the name uncultured bacterium. RNAcentral describes it as "partial 16S ribosomal RNA". It matches the Rfam family "Bacterial small subunit ribosomal RNA", at positions 126 to 334 of the family's 1533-position model. The record is from RNAcentral.